UACGGAGGGGGCUAGCGUUGUUCGGAAUCACUGGGCGUAAAGCGCACGUAGGCGGAUCGGAAAGUUGGGGGUGAAAUCCCGGGGCUCAACCUCGGAACUGCCUCCAAAACUACCAGUCUGGAGUUCGAGAGAGGUGGGUGGAAUUCCGAGUGUAGAGGUGAAAUUCGUAGAUAUUCGGAGGAACACCAGUGGCGAAGGCGGCUCACUGGCUCAAUACUGACGCUGAGGCGCGAAAGCGUGGGGAGCAAACAGG
This 253-nucleotide unclassified non-coding RNA is filed under the name uncultured Paracoccaceae bacterium. Its description in RNAcentral is "uncultured Rhodobacteraceae bacterium contains 16S-23S intergenic spacer region". It matches the Rfam family "Bacterial small subunit ribosomal RNA", at positions 524 to 776 of the family's 1533-position model. The record is from RNAcentral. Lineage: Bacteria; Pseudomonadati; Pseudomonadota; Alphaproteobacteria; Rhodobacterales; Paracoccaceae.